UUGAGGCGUGGCUUCCGGAGCUAACGCGUUAAGUCGACCGCCUGGGGAGUACGGCCGCAAGGUUAAAACUCAAAUGAAUUGACGGGGGCCCGCACAAGCGGUGGAGCAUGUGGUUUAAUUCGAUGCAACGCGAAGAACCUUACCUGGUCUUGACAUCCACGGAACUUUUCAGAGAUGAGAAUGUGCCUUCGGGAACCGUGAGACAGGUGCUGCAUGGCUGUCGUCAGCUCGUGUUGUGAAAUGUUGGGUUAAGUCCCGCAACGAGCGCAACCCUUAUCCUUUGUUGCCAGCGGUCCGGCCGGGAACUCAAAGGAGACUGCCAGUGAUAAACUGGAGGAAGGUGGGGAUGACGUCAAGUCAUCAUGGCCCUUACGACCAGGGCUACACACGUGCUACAAUGG
This 401-nucleotide ribosomal RNA is filed under the name Escherichia coli. RNAcentral's name for it is "bacterial SSU rRNA". It matches the Rfam family "Bacterial small subunit ribosomal RNA", at positions 832 to 1233 of the family's 1533-position model. The record is from RNAcentral. Lineage: Bacteria; Pseudomonadati; Pseudomonadota; Gammaproteobacteria; Enterobacterales; Enterobacteriaceae.